UUCAAUGGCGGCUGUGUGUGGGGCACGCUUGCGUGCGCCGGAACUUCCUAUGUCCGCCGGUCUGUCAACCUGCACACAGCUGCCACCCAA
Molecule: non-coding RNA, 90 nt
Organism: Pseudomonas putida W619
Lineage: Bacteria; Pseudomonadati; Pseudomonadota; Gammaproteobacteria; Pseudomonadales; Pseudomonadaceae
Source: Rfam